CAUAUUCGAUAAAGAAUACGUUUUUUUAUCGAAUAAUAAUUCACGAAUUAUAAAAAAUAUAUACUUAUAGAAGAAAUUAUGCACGUACUACAUAACGAAAAAAUCACACACCUCAAGAAGAAAUGGAGUUUCUAAUAACUAACGGAUAUCGAUAGUACAAUGACGCGCCACGUCAUUAUUUCGAUUAUCGAAUUAGAAAAUCGAUAUGCGCGCGCGGCAAGUCGAAACCUGUCGAAACCUGUCGAAACAUGUCGAGCGUGACAAAAAACGCGAAUGCUCAAAUUCUUGGAAAAGCGAUAUUAUGAAAACAAAUAAUGAACCUCAAGCAUUAAACAAAAAAGAAAAAA
Long non-coding RNA from Apis dorsata (giant honeybee), 347 nucleotides. RefSeq lists it as uncharacterized. The record is from RefSeq and is a predicted model, not a curated record. Lineage: Eukaryota; Metazoa; Arthropoda; Insecta; Hymenoptera; Apidae. The transcript has 2 exons.